Molecule: long non-coding RNA, 1257 nt
Organism: Cyprinus carpio (common carp)
Lineage: Eukaryota; Metazoa; Chordata; Actinopteri; Cypriniformes; Cyprinidae
Source: Ensembl
AUGAUUAUGGCUGCACUUAAUAAUCGUACAUUUGUUUGCCUUUUGUGGCUGUGGAUAUUGAUUGUUUGGAAAGCCGCACAAACAUUCCACGUGAUGAAAGGGCCAGGUCUGCCCGUCAUAGCGUACAGCCGGCAUGAGCUUCUUCAGUUGUGGUUUUCAGCAUCAAGUCUAUUGGAUCCUGAUGUCGAUUUACCAGAAAUCAAGCCCAGGGCAAAAGUUAGGAAGAGAGGCAGCAGAGGAGGUGUCCGGGUCAGAAACCGCCGGCGGGGACACAAACCUGUCUUACCCUCGGUUACUAUGGGGAAUAUCCGCUCUCUCGUCAACAAGGCAGAUGAAUUAACAGCUUGUUUGAAGUUCGAUCGCACGUUUCGGCAGACCAGUUUACUCUGUCUUUCUGAGACGUGGCUGUCUGACAGGAUACCUGAUUCCCAUGUGGAGAUGGAAGGUUUUGCACUUCACAGGAUGGACAGAGAUCAAGCAAGUACAGGUAAGAAGCAAGGUGGAGGUGUCUGUCUGUAUGUGAACAACCGCUGGUGUCAUACUCAACAUGUUACGGUAAAAGAAAGAGUUUGUGACCCGAAUAUCGAGCUCAUUGCAGUGAGUUGUAGACCUUACUACCUACCCAGGGAGUUCUCCCAUGUUAUUGUCAUGGUGGUGUAUAUCCCACCAUCGGGAAAUGGGAAGUGUGCCAUUGAGACAAUUUCGAGAAUCACGCAUGACUUACAGCGCUCCUCUCCAGAUGCGCUGGUUAUUUUGAACGGGGACUUUAAUCACUGCACUCUCUCCACCACCUUACCAUCUUUUAAACAAAUGGUGACGUGUCCUACGAGGGGUGACAAUGUUAUUGACUUGUUUUAUACAAAUGUUAAGGAUGGCUAUGUUGCUAAAUUGCUUCCUCCGCUGGGUAAAUCAGACCAUAACCUGAUAAACUUGACUUCCAAAUAUUCAACGGUGAUACGUAAACAGCCGAUUACGUUAAAGACUGUGCGCGUCUGUUCAGAUGAUGCUUGUGAAACACUAAAGGGGUGCUUCGAAUGCACCGACUGGUCUGUGUUUUUUGAUGGAGACAGUGAUUUGGACAGUAUCUCUGACAAAGUGACUUGUUAUAUUAAUUAUUGUGUCGAGGCUGUAAUUCCGUGUAAACAAAUCAAAAUCUUUCCCAAUAAUAAACCAUGGGUCACCAGAGAAGUUAAAGCUGCUAUUAAUAAGAAGAAAGCAGCCUUUUAUAGUGGUGAUAAAGAAAGGAUUAAAGAUGCC